RNAcentral lists this ribosomal RNA (441 nucleotides) under uncultured bacterium. RNAcentral's name for it is "partial 16S ribosomal RNA". It matches the Rfam family "Bacterial small subunit ribosomal RNA", at positions 338 to 795 of the family's 1533-position model. The record is from RNAcentral.
CCUACGGGGGGCAGCAGUGGGGAAUAUUGCGCAAUGGGGGCAACCCUGACGCAGCAACGCCGCGUGAUUGAAGAAGGCCUUCGGGUUGUAAAGAUCUUUAAUCAGGGACGAAAAAUGACGGUAGCUGAAGAAUAAGCUCCGGCUAACUACGUGCCAGCAGCCGCGGUAAUACGUAGGGGGCACGCGUUCUCCGGGUUUACUGGGUGUAAAGGGCGUGUAGGCGGGCUUGUAAGUCAGAAGUGAAAUCUGGGGGCUUAACCCCCAAACUGCUUUUGAAACUGCGGGUCUUGAGUGAUGGAGAGGCAGGCGGAAUUCCCAGUGUAGCGGUGAAAUGCGUAGAUAUUGGGAGGAACACCAGUGGCGAAGGCGGCCUGCUGGACAUUAACUGACGCUGAGGCGCGAAAGCGUGGGGAGCAAACAGGAUUAGAUACCCCGGUAGUC